GAGAAGAAAGCAGUGAAUAUGUCAUGCUGGAGUAGUUUUUGUUGCAAGCAAAAUAUGGAAAACGAAGCUUUGAUAGUUGUACUACUCAAAGUAGCAAGUACAUUUGGGUUGAUAUAAUCUAUGAAAAGAGAGCAUGGAAAAUCAUCUGACUUCCAUUGCACCUGCAUCAGCAUGUGUCUGCUUUUAAGGUAUUCCCCUAAAUGCUUUGAAAGUAUAAUCACAUACACAUCCAUUUGCAUGUUAUUUUUCGGAGCUUGACAUGAAGCCAUCAGGAAUGGGUCAUGCUCUGUGUACUCUGUAUCUGUCGAUCUUCCAUGUCCUUCACAUUCCAUGAUUUAGGUAUGAUUAAGCUUUUCUUAGAAUACUCAACUGCCAUGGGUUAGUGAGGUAAACUUUGGAUAUUUAUCACAACAGAAAAGAACCACUUGACUGAAAUCCAUAAUCAAUAUUCAAUUAACGUUCUUCUGGUCUCAUCUGCUUAAACAUAAGGAUCCAUUCAUUUGUAUAAUGCUGUUAAUGACAAUAUCAGAUGAACCUAGUUUGGUGGAAACCUCUUCGCUGUGUAUUAGAUCAUUGCAUAUGAAAAAGUUUCAAGCUUCCUAUUAGUUCAUGAGCAAUAUACCGUAUUGAAUUGCUAAUGUAUAUCAUCUGAGAUCAUCCUGCACUCUAAAUUAUUGGAGGCAACUGGCCUGCGAUCUCAAGCUGAUCCUGUCUUGUUGUUAAUCAUUUUGAAGACUUCUCCUCUUUUGAAUGGUGACGAUCCUUAUAUGAGAUGAGACAUGCAAAGUUAUUCACGCAUGUUAGAAAGGUUGAGCUAGCUGGGACGUGGAGAAGGUGAUCUAUCAACAUGGAGAACCUGACAUCUGGUGGAGCUGCGUGAAAAAAUUGGAGAAUCUCUAGAAGGUAUGUCUAUAUGUUAGAUUGGAGUUCUAUCCACAAGGAAAAGCAAUCCGCAAAUGUCUGAACAACCAUUAUCAUUGUUUAACAUGGCAUAAAUUUAAUUGUUUUACUAUUGAUAUGCUGGUGUAUGGAUUCAUUUGUCUCGAAUAUGCAUUAGUUUUUUGAUGUAUGAGAUAUAUUACAUCUUUUUUUCUUCUGAAAAAGGCAUUCUAAUCAAUUAUUAAUCAAAGGAAUGUUUAGUAGCUCAUGAAUUAAAGAUGGGGUUUAACCAAAGAUAGAACCCAAUGCCCGAGCUAGCUAAUGGGCACAUUGGUUCGCUGGUCUUUUAACAAAAGACGAGGAAAUAGAAGUAAAGCCACACAUGAGUGCUAUACAAUCUCGAAUAAUAAUAUCAAAAAAAAAUAAGAGUUGUUGUUGUAAGAUUUUUCUGAUGCUUGUUUAACCCAAAGACUUUCAAUCUCCACAAUAAUUGUUAUUGAUGAAAAAUGUUCCUUUAGCGAGCUUAGUACUUCUCGAACACCCAAAGCCUCAACCAAAAGGGAGUCAUGCGGCGUAUCUAAUCAACUAGAGUGACCUCUCAUGAAGUUUCCAUGAGAAUCACGGACUAGCAUGUCUGACUCGCUCCUACCAAAGUAAGGUCUAAAGAAGGAUCAAUGUUUCUCUUAAGGAUAUUCUCAUUAGGAGGAAACCAUCUAAUUGGACCAAACUCUUACUCGGGACUCCUACUCGAGUCUCAAUCCUGAACCAAGACACCUGACUCAAAAUCUAACCCUAACUCAAGAUUCGAGCCUUGAGACCUAGGAUCUAAGCCCCAACCCUCGGCCUUGGCCUAGGACCUAGGACAUGACACCUAAAACUUGAUCCUGACCCAAGGCUCGAGACCCAAAGCUCGAGACCCUUCGACACUAACUCGAGAUUCAACUAGGAACUCGAACACUUACCGUCUAGAACAAUUCGAUAUCUAACUCUGACCUUAACCCGAGACCCAAUCCUCGAGAUUCGAAACCUACAACCUAACCUUCAGUCGUGACUGCCGACUAGAACCUCGAGACUUGACCCGGAUCCAUAUUAAAAAUCAAAGUGAAAUUUUAGCAGUAAACCCAAAUUAAAGUAAAUCUUUAAAAUGUGCUAGAGUUUGACAAAAUUUAGAGAUCACUUUAAAAAUGAGUUAUGUUUGGUUAGAUUUAAGAGGGUCAACCCAAUAUGAAAUUAUCUUGUGCUUAAGAUUUUGGGUGAAUUGGGUGGACCACCAAUUUUCAGGCCAUAUUUGACACCCGUACGUAAGUGUGUGAACUGAAAAAUGGGCCAAGUUAUAUGAUUAUUCCUUAAAACCUCUAUUUACUUCAAGGAAUACUUUAUUUUUUCUACUAGUAAUAAGAGGUUAGGAAGUAGGUCAUGGACGACAUGCUUGCUUCCAGACGAGGGCAAGACAAUAAUUUUAUACUUGGUUGUGUGCUUUUGUCACGACCCAAAAUCGGAUGUGAUGGCACCUGUCUUAUCCCACCAAGACAGGUCAGCCUAAACCCAAAUACGAUAAGGUGAAUGUGGAAGUUUAAACAAAAUAAGGAACUAAGUAUAACACAAACAUGCAGAAACAUAAUAUAACUCAAAAUACCCCCAAAACCUAGUGUCACGUUUACAAGCCUCUAAGUAUUACAAUAGAUUCAAAGAAGUACAAGUAUGAAUGUCUUUGUUGCUAGAGCAAAACAAGAACAUAAUUAAAGAAUAAGAGGUUUCCGCCGAUAUGACAAACAAGUACCUCACAACUCUUCAUAGUAAGCCUCGGAUGUAAAAGAGAAGAAGGAAUAAUCACGAUGAUCCGAGCUCGUACCCUACACAAGUGUAGAAGCAAGAGAGCGAGUACCAAACAACACGGUACUCAACAAAUAAACGACUAACUCAAGGUAAAGCAAUACAUAAUACAAGUAUUCCCAACACUCCAACCGAACCUCCACAACUACAACCUGCACAGAAUAAGUCCAACCUAACAAUUCACAUUUAUAUAGCACAUAAACAUGAAUAGCAACACUUUAAACGUAUACAGGUCACCAAUACAAAAGUUGAUAUUCAUCAACCACAGGCUCCAUAACAAGCACUCACAAGGUCUACAAAUGGUAAUGAUGUGCAAUGUAAUGAAAUGAAAUGUCAAAUAUAGUAAUGCAUGUCUGUCCUAACGAUACACAUCCGCUAAAUAUCAGACUGGGACCCAUGGGGGACUCACAAGGUUCAUGUAUCCGCCGGAAUCAUUUUCCCUCGUCAUAGUCAUCAAUCACCGAAACCAUUUUCCCUCAGCAUAAUCAUCAAAAUAGAUCUCAACACAGUGUUUUAGAACCAAUGCAAAUAGGCAUGUCCACACAAUAAUGAGAAGAUGACUAUUUCCAUAUCAAUACACAAUCCAUAUCAACACAAUCAUGAUACAUCAUCAAUAAUGAAUCAAUAUAAUCUUUCAAAUCAUCCACAACACAUCACACAUCAUUAUACCAUCAAGUUACCUUUUAUUUCCCCUUCUUCAUCACUAGAAUCAUUCAAUAUGACUAUCUGACCACAAAUAUCAAACCCUUCACCACUUUCCAUUUCUACCCAACGCAUACAAUAAGGAAUACAAGAUUCUAUAUACUUAACAAAGGGUCAAGAAGUCCACUUGUCUUGAACAAACAAUCAAUCACCCCUGCACUUGAGCUUUCCCUUCACGUAGAGCCACAUAAUCCACACCAAGUAAUCAAAUAUAGAAUACCCAUAAGUAAAUUUGAACAACAACACAUAUAAUGUUGAUUUUGAAAAUCUGGUUCGUAAUGACCCAAAAAGUCAAUCUCGAAGGCUAGGGUCAAAUAUGGGAUUUUGUAAGAAAUCAUGAUACACCCUUCGAGGUGGCCCAGUGGUUUGGGCUUGGGACUUCCAUGUUGGAGGUCUCAAGUUCGAAACCCCUUGCCAGCGAAAGCAAGGGGUUUGCCUUCUAGGUCGAGCUCGUCACACCGGGCUUGCCUAGUGCGGGUUACCUCUCCUAUGUGGUUUUCGAGCUAUUGCAUAGGAGCGAAAGUUUUAUCCUAUGCUCACCCAAAGGGUAGAGACUGUGGUUUCCCUUGUCAUAAAAAAAGAAAGAAAAAGAAAUCAUGAUACACAAAGAUUUUGUAACUCAUUAGUGAAAACCCCAUUGAAAAAUGAGUUGAAAUCAUGCUCAAAUCUCUAAUCACUUAAAACACAAGUACGUGAGAAAACCCCCCAAAACUUGGAUCCGAAACUCCGAGUCAAACCUGAAAUAUUUCUUAAAACAUAUCUUACCCAUGCUUAGGAAAGUUCAACUAUGAAAUUUCAUCGAAAACAGAGUUAAAAUCGGCCUUGAAAUCCUCAAUUUAUCAAACUUUAACUUUAUCAAGAAAAACCCAAAUUCUCAAGCUUAUACGUGGUUAAUAUGAUGAAAAUAAUUGAUGAAUUAUGCCAAAAUCAGUUUACGCAUAACAUAAGGAUCAUAAAUACUCAUUUUUCAUCAAAAACUGAGUCGAAAUUGAUAAAACCCAAUUUCCUCCCAAGAAAUACACGGAUAAGGAAAGAAAAUCAGAUGAAGAAAUCAUUAGAGAAAGUCAAUAUGAGGAUUGGAUACUAACCCCCAUAUUAAAUUGAAAAGAAUGCCGCAAGAAUCACUCUAUUCCGAGCUCUAGAACUCCCAAUAUGCUCAAAUUACCAAAUGAACACAGUCUGAAAUUUAAAUACCUAUACAACAGUAUUUAUACCAGCGCACCAGCAACUUGAAUUUUCAUUAAAAGAGCCGUAACUUCCUCAUACGAUAGCGAAAUGACCCGUUUCUUUUUCCUAAAUGUCUUAAAUAAUGAUACAGACCUUUUCGUUCAAUUGAAACUCAAUUCCAUGCUCGUUUGCCCAAUCAAAUAUCAUUUUUGCUCGGUAAACAAUUAUUUCAUAUAUCGCGAUAAAAUUUCAAUCUCGGCUUAGUGAAAAUGCACCAAUUUUCGCAGAUCAUUCCUAUAAUUCAUGCUCAAAAUUUCAGAAUAAUUUUUCGAUCUUUAAUACAAAUAAGGAACCUUUUAGUCGACACAAAUUGCUGAAACAACGCCAAAGCACCCAAAAAGCAUAGAAACUCACCCAAAACUCAUCCGGAACCUCCCGAACACAAACCAAAUAUGCUUCUAUCUUGGAAAAGACAUUUCGGACUCAAUUAAAUCAUCAAAACACCCAAACAAGCUCACCUAAACCCAAUGUUGACCAAAUUCAACUUUGACUUAAGAAUCUCCAAAUUUUCAAAUAAUGACAUGAAACUCAUCCAAAAGUUUUGGGACUGAACCAAACUUUCAACUAGACCAAAUAUCACCAUUUAGACCUAGUGGAAUCAUUAAAACUCGAAAAUGACCUUUCUAACUUCAAACGUUUACUAAAGUCAAACUUUAGCCUUAACUUUCUCCGCAUCUCGUCUAAUGGCUCAAAAUCAAACCAAAAGCCUUGGGACUCAAUCCAACAAUACAUCUAGACCAAAAACCACAUUUCGGAGCUAACGAAACUGUCGAAAUUUUAUUCCGAGCUUGUUGUCACCAAAUUUUUACUUUGGUCAACUAUGUGAUGCUUUCAACUUUGAAAACACAAAAACUCUUCCUAAACUCAUCUAUAUACCUCAAGUCCUGAGCCAAUAGUCCUACUAACCCAAAAGUCAGAGCUGAUGGAAUUGAUGGAAUUCCAUUCUGAGACACGCAACUCUGGUUGUUACAAAUAACCACUUCUAACAACUUUAACUCUCCAAAACUCUAAAACUUCCAAAUAUCAUAACUUUACAAUCAAAUUUUAUAACCAACUUUGUAAACUGAUCAAACAAGACUCGGGACAACUAUCGGGAGGGGUAAAACAAUAAUUUUCUAUAAAUUUCCAAAAAUGACCUUCAGGGUCAUUAAUUUAUCCACCACUAAAAACCAUAUUUGUCCUCAAACAUAAAGAAAAAGAAAGACGAAUACUCGACGUUACCAAAAGGCUAAGGCAUAAUUCCCAAAUUCGGUAUUUGCUUCUCCAAGUGAACUCAUUCUUAGGACCAUAUCAUCAGGACAACAACAAGAAUUGAACUUCCAAACAAAAAUUGAAAAUUCUGCAAACCAAGAGUGAUUCCUUAACUGAAACUCUCUAAACCACAACACAACCAUCGGAACGAAUCCUUUUCCCACAUAAUCAUGAGAAAUUCUGAACUAUACCUCCUAAAACUAGGAGUGAAGACAAAUCUAACCACCAAACACUCAUAAAGCCCAAUACCAUCACUGAUCUUAGUAAAAUUUUAUGCUCUUAGCAUAAUCUUCCGACGAGCUUUAAGCUGCAACAACCUGAUCUUAGAAAAUGCGUACUCAUCAAAGGAGAACCCAACUAAUCGACCCAAAGAAGGAGAUGACAAAGUAACCGCCCAGUUAACCAUACACCCAAGCAUACAUAACCUCUAAUUACGAUGUCGAGAUGCUGGAACAAUAGCUAUGAUUGUAGACAACCCCUGAAAAUGGCAACACUAGGCCCAAUGGCCCUCCAAAUCAAACACACAUAGCUGAAACAUGUCCUCAACGACAAGGUGAAUACCAAGAUUGUCGAGAAAUUGCAAUUCCCCAUGAUAGAUCUCAUACAAGCACUCUCAACAAUGUUCACACAUGCAGUGCUAUUAGCAUACCCUAACUGCCCAAAAUUCUCCUUUGUCUUACUCAGAAUACUCCCUCUCUGUAUCCACAAUUAAAACCUCUCCAGUUAUCUGAUUCCCACCUACUUAACUUCUCUCUGCAUACGAUAUCUGAUUUGAACACCAACACAACUCGAAACCUACUUGAAUCAUCAAAUCUAACAUAUUCUCCAUAAUUCGACUACUGAAAUAAAAAUAAUCUGAUGCCAACGAAAUAUCAUGACCUUUUUGAUCCUCUGCUCAUGCUUCCAAAAUCAUCAUUAGUACCAAAAUUCCUUGGAAAACACAUUAUCACACCCCGUAACUCUAAAUUAUGAUUCCUCUUUUUCUCAAAAGAAAUAUUUCUAUUCGUCCCAAGCCUACUAUAAGCAUUCUAUGUCUGGAACUGGUCCUACCCAAGGCUGAUAGUACUAAUUCCAAAUCUAAUAGUACUUUUCCAUCAAGCUAAAUCUAUUGAAUCAGAAACCAAUAUCGACUACAUGCAACCCUACACAUGCCAUGCCUCAACUGCCAUUCAAACAAUUGCGUACUCAUGCCAAAUUGUAGAUAAACCCUUGAUCAGCCCAAUAAUUUUGUAUACUAUUAGCACAUAACCUUUAUUCGCCACUAAGUUUCUGUCAUAAUAGUUUGUGUAUUUCCCAUCAACUAGGUAAUAUCAAUCCAGCUCAAAAUCCUCAAUAACCAUGUAGAACUAUAAGUCCUUCCUAUAAUGCACCCAUAAAUCACCUACCAUAAUUUGAAUAAUCCAACAUGAUCUUAGGCAUAUUUAUAUGCCUAGAAAUCUAAUAAUACCCAUAUUUAAGCUAAGUUUAAACUCAAUAGGUGUCUGUUUAUAGUCUUAUUGAGUUUUUUUGGUUGUCUAUGAGCUACCGAACAUGAUUAACUUGUAGGUGAGCUUAAAUGGAGAAACGAGCACGAAAAUGGAUUAUGAGGAACACAAAAGAUUCAAGG
Molecule: long non-coding RNA, 7498 nt
Filed under: Solanum tuberosum (potato)
Lineage: Eukaryota; Viridiplantae; Streptophyta; Magnoliopsida; Solanales; Solanaceae
Description: long non-coding RNA (STUB_LNC001511)
Source: RNAcentral